This 247-nucleotide ribosomal RNA is filed under the name uncultured bacterium. RNAcentral's name for it is "partial 16S ribosomal RNA". It matches the Rfam family "Bacterial small subunit ribosomal RNA", at positions 523 to 769 of the family's 1533-position model. The record is from RNAcentral.
AUACGUAGGGGGCAAGCGUUAUCCGGAUUUACUGGGUGUAAAGGGAGCGUAGACGGUUCUGCAAGUCUGGAGUGAAAGCCCGGGGCUCAACCCCGGGACUGCUUUGGAAACUGUGGAACUGGAGUGCAGGAGAGGUAAGUGGAAUUCCUAGUGUAGCGGUGAAAUGCGUAGAUAUUAGGAGGAACACCAGUGGCGAAGGCGGCUUACUGGACUGUAACUGACGUUGAGGCUCGAAAGUCAGGGGAGC